This 403-nucleotide ribosomal RNA is filed under the name uncultured bacterium. RNAcentral's name for it is "partial 16S ribosomal RNA". It matches the Rfam family "Bacterial small subunit ribosomal RNA", at positions 30 to 526 of the family's 1533-position model. The record is from RNAcentral.
AUUGAACGCUGGCGGCAGGCCUAACACAUGCAAGUCGAGCGAGCGGCGGACGGGUGAGUAAUGUAUGGGGACUGCCCGAUAGAGGGGGAUAACUACUGGAAACGGUAGCUAAUACCGCAUACUAUCGGAUAACCCAUAUGGGAUUAGCUAGUAGGUGAGGUAAUGGCUCACCUAGGCGACGAGCCCUAGCUGGUCUGAGAGGAUGAGCAGCCACACUGGGACUGUGAAACGGCCCAGACUCCAACGGAGGCAGCAGUGGGGAAUAUCGCACAAUGGGCGCAGGCCUGAUGCGGCACGGCCGCGUGUAUGAAGAAGGCCUUAGGGUUGUAAAGUACGUUCAGACGGGAGGCGUUACCGACAGAAGAAGCACCGGCUAACUCCGUGCCAGUAGCCGCGGUAAUUC